UUGGAAAAUCAAAACCCACUAUUCAAUUUCGGCUUGCUUUUUCUUUUUCUUCUUUCUAAUGUUGAUGUUGAUGAACGCUCUUCCACCGAUAUAGCAUACUAUAAAUAUGUUUGGUUGUGUGUAUUAUGUAUGUAUUGUGGAUAAAGAAAGUGAGAGACACACAGAGAGCAGAAACUGGGAAGAGAGGGUGAAGAUGAAACAAAAAGAGAGAGAGAGAGAGAUGAGCGGAAAAACUAGAAAAUCAUGCCAUUGUGUUUGUGUUUAUUGAGAUGAGAGCAUUUGGGUGAAUAAAAUAAUAAAAUAUUGGAUAGUGGUCUUUAUGGAUCAAAGUUGUAUUACUUCAUUUCGUUUUAUAAAAUUUUAUUUUUCAUGUUUAAAUUCAAUAGUGAUGAUGUAGAGUAGUCGGAUGGAAAUAUUUUGGAUAUUCAUAUAUAUAUCGGUAAUAUCUUUUUUCAAGUAUUUUAUUUUUAUUUUUC
This 476-nucleotide long non-coding RNA is filed under the name Olea europaea (common olive). RNAcentral's name for it is "long non-coding RNA (OEUR_LNC004515)". Lineage: Eukaryota; Viridiplantae; Streptophyta; Magnoliopsida; Lamiales; Oleaceae. The record is from RNAcentral.